Molecule: non-coding RNA, 1245 nt
Organism: Heterocephalus glaber (naked mole-rat)
Lineage: Eukaryota; Metazoa; Chordata; Mammalia; Rodentia; Bathyergidae
Source: RefSeq, a predicted model, not a curated record
UGUCACCCACUGCCACCUGUUAUCCCGAGGGCCCCUCCAAGACACCUGCUGAGCCUGAGAGCUACCUGCAGAAGAUGCCACCCCCUGGGGCCCUGCUCACUCCUGGUUCAGUGAACAACCUAGACAACUGGCCCUGUCUGUUCUGCAGGGCCCAUGAGUGCCCACACACGAUUAGAACGGCUUUCCUGCCGGGAGUCUGACCACUCACAGCUCACUCAGAUUCCGUGCUGAGCCCAGGGCAGCGGGAGAGUCCUCUGGGCUCCAUGACCAGCGGGUCAGGGGCGGGACUUGGUUCCGGGUCCCAGUGCUGCUCCGAGCUUGGCUCUCCCUCCCCUCUGCUCUCCCAAGAGUGCACGUGGACAUUUUCCACCACGCACACAGGAGUGAACAAGACGGCUGUUUUCUUUUACUUCCUGUGACUUUCUGUCAACCUCUUCUUUUUGUGUGUGUGUCAACCUCAUCUUAACCUCAACCUAAGCAUCUUUCCCCACGGGACUCACAACCUGAAAAUCUCGCUCAUUUGUAGAUAAGACAAAUCAACCUGCACUGUAAGCUGUGAUGGUCUCCGUAGCUGGCAGCUGGCAGCUGGCAGCUUUACCCAGUGUGAGGGCGGUCGAACACUACGGUGAACAUUUAGAUCCGGCCACCUCCGAAAACUCCCACCUGUGACUGCAUGAGGCUUUGGAGGACAGCUAGACACAGCCACUGCCCUCCCCAGCUGGCUCCUGUGCACAUUUGCACCUGGGAUGCCCAGGUGCUCCUGCAGAUGGGCGCCAGAGCCCCCCGCAGGUCUGAAGCAGCAAUGCUGGCUGGGCGAGCGGCUGAGGACAGCUGAUUGUCCGUGACACAGAGUCCUGGCUCUUACAGGUUCACCAAGGGUCAGAAGAGAGUACAACAGACACCACGCGCCCCUUACUAACCCUAAGCCAGCCGUGAAUAAGGCACCCCCUUGCCAAGCAGCUGCCCACCCCGAAGAUAAGGCCUCAAAGGCAGGUCAAGGGCAGUGAACGGGCAGAAAGCUCCACGGGGACCACGUCAGUCAGAGGCGCCCGGAAGCCAAGCCAGCUACGGCAGGUUCAUCCUCCUGGAGCCCCCGCCCCGAUUCCUUCUUAACCAGCCAGCUGUCUUCUCCUUCUCUCUCCCCUUCCUUUUCCUCUUCACAAAUCAAAUGUCUUCCUUUCCUUAAACCCAGUCCCUCAGACUCGUUACUGGGGUUGAGCUCAUGAUCCCCACAGACUGCUCAGA